RNAcentral lists this ribosomal RNA (253 nucleotides) under uncultured bacterium. RNAcentral describes it as "partial 16S ribosomal RNA". It matches the Rfam family "Bacterial small subunit ribosomal RNA", at positions 524 to 776 of the family's 1533-position model. The record is from RNAcentral.
UACGUAGGGGGCUAGCGUUGCUCGGAAUCACUGGGCGUAAAGCGCACGUAGGCGGCUCUUUAAGUCAGGGGUGAAAUCCUGGAGCUCAACUCCAGAACUGCCUUUGAUACUGGGGAUCUCGAGUCCGGGAGAGGUGAGUGGAACUGCGAGUGUAGAGGUGAAAUGCGUAGAUAUUCGCAAGAACACCAGUGGCGAAGGCGGCUCACUGGCCCGGUACUGACGCUGAGGUGCGAAAGCGUGGGGAGCAAACAGG